RNAcentral lists this ribosomal RNA (540 nucleotides) under Hydrogenophaga sp. enrichment culture. RNAcentral describes it as "bacterial SSU rRNA". It matches the Rfam family "Bacterial small subunit ribosomal RNA", at positions 374 to 907 of the family's 1533-position model. The record is from RNAcentral. Lineage: Bacteria; Pseudomonadati; Pseudomonadota; Betaproteobacteria; Burkholderiales; Comamonadaceae.
GGCGCAAGCCUGAUCCAGCAAUGCCGCGUGCAGGAAGAAGGCCUUCGGGUUGUAAACUGCUUUUGUACGGAACGAAACGGUCUGGGUUAAUACCCUGGGCUAAUGACGGUACCGUAAGAAUAAGCACCGGCUAACUACGUGCCAGCAGCCGCGGUAAUACGUAGGGUGCAAGCGUUAAUCGGAAUUACUGGGCGUAAAGCGUGCGCAGGCGGUUUUGUAAGACAGGCGUGAAAUCCCCGGGCUCAACCUGGGAAUGGCGCUUGUGACUGCAAAGCUGGAGUGCGGCAGAGGGGGAUGGAAUUCCGCGUGUAGCAGUGAAAUGCGUAGAUAUGCGGAGGAACACCGAUGGCGAAGGCAAUCCCCUGGGCCUGCACUGACGCUCAUGCACGAAAGCGUGGGGAGCAAACAGGAUUAGAUACCCUGGUAGUCCACGCCCUAAACGAUGUCAACUGGUUGUUGGGUAUUUACUUACUCAGUAACGAAGCUAACGCGUGAAGUUGACCGCCUGGGGAGUACGGCCGCAAGGUUGAAACUCAAAGA